UAGGGAAUCUUCCACAAUGGACGAAAGUCUGAUGGAGCAACGCCGCGUGAGUGAUGAAGGGUUUCGGCUCGUAAAACUCUGUUGUUGGAGAAGAACAGGUGAUAGAGUAACUGUUAUCAUCUUGACGGUAUCCAACCAGAAAGCCACGGCUAACUACGUGCCAGCAGCCGCGGUAAUACGUAGGUGGCAAGCGUUGUCCGGAUUUAUUGGGCGUAAAGCGAGCGCAGGCGGUUUUUUAGGUCUGAUGUGAAAGCCUUCGGCUUAACCGGAGAAGGGCAUCGGAAACCGGGAGACUUGAGUGCAGAAGAGGACAGUGGAACUCCAUGUGUAGCGGUGAAAUGCGCAGAUAUAUGGAAGAACACCAGUGGCGAAGGCGGCUGUCUGGUCUGUAACUGACGCUGAGGCUCGAAAGCAUGGGUAGCGAACAGGAUUAGAUACCCUGGUAGUCCAUGCCGUAAAACGAUGAGUGCUAAGUGU
RNAcentral lists this ribosomal RNA (477 nucleotides) under uncultured bacterium. RNAcentral describes it as "partial 16S ribosomal RNA". It matches the Rfam family "Bacterial small subunit ribosomal RNA", at positions 355 to 823 of the family's 1533-position model. The record is from RNAcentral.